This 268-nucleotide long non-coding RNA is filed under the name Populus trichocarpa (black cottonwood). Its description in RNAcentral is "long non-coding RNA (PTRI_LNC003121)". The record is from RNAcentral. Lineage: Eukaryota; Viridiplantae; Streptophyta; Magnoliopsida; Malpighiales; Salicaceae.
GGUAGAGGAGAACAUUGUGAUUACUAACUCUGCACCAAUAACCACUAAUAUUCCGUACCCACUAACUAUACAAAAUGAAAUAUUUCAAUAUUAGGAAUAGAUCAUAUAUAUAUGGGUUAUGUUUAGCUUAUAAGCAAUGAUUGGUUACAUAAUCCUGCAGUGUGUUGCAUAAGGAACAAACUUGAGAAAUUGUUACGUAUUUAUUAUCAAUUGUAUGGUGAGUACUUGCUUGCUUGCUUAUGAUCAGUAGACAAUGCUUUUGUUUGAU